GCGGACGUGGUGGAAUGGCAGACACGGUGGUCUUAGGAGCCACUGCUUCGGCGUGUGGGUUCGACUCCCACCGUCCGCACCA
Molecule: transfer RNA, 82 nt
Filed under: Bacillota bacterium
Lineage: Bacteria; Bacillati; Bacillota
Description: tRNA-Leu
Rfam family: tRNA
About the family: Transfer RNA (tRNA) molecules are approximately 80 nucleotides in length. Their secondary structure includes four short double-helical elements and three loops (D, anti-codon, and T loops).
Source: RNAcentral